UUUGAGGGGAAUGUUGUCUGGUUCGGGACAACUGUGGAAGAGACCUCGGACCAGGCUUCAUUCCCCCCAAU
Molecule: microRNA precursor, 71 nt
Filed under: Musa balbisiana (Balbis banana)
Lineage: Eukaryota; Viridiplantae; Streptophyta; Magnoliopsida; Zingiberales; Musaceae
Also listed under: 1 other name
Description: mir-166 microRNA precursor family
Rfam family: mir-166 microRNA precursor family
About the family: This family represents the plant microRNA (miRNA) precursor mir-166.
Source: Rfam by way of RNAcentral